This 440-nucleotide ribosomal RNA is filed under the name uncultured bacterium. RNAcentral describes it as "partial 16S ribosomal RNA". It matches the Rfam family "Bacterial small subunit ribosomal RNA", at positions 338 to 795 of the family's 1533-position model. The record is from RNAcentral.
CCUACGGGAGGCAGCAGUGGGGAAUAUUGCACAAUGGGGGAAACCCUGAUGCAGCGACGCCGCGUGAGUGAAGAAGUAUUUCGGUACGUAAAGCUCUAUCAGCAGGGAAGAAAAUGACGGUACCUGACUAAGAAGCCCCGGCUAACUACGUGCCAGUAGCCGCGGUAAUACGUAGGGGGCAAGCGUUAUCCGGAUUUACUGGGUGUAAAGGGAGCGUAGACGGCAGCGCAAGUCUGGAGUGAAAUCCCAUGGCUUAACCAUGGAACUGCUUUGGAAACUGUGCAGCUAGAGUGCAGGAGAGGUAAGCGGAAUUCCUAGUGUAGCGGUGAAAUGCGUAGAUAUUAGGAGGAACACCAGUGGCGAAGGCGGCUUACUGGACUGUAACUGACGUUGAGGCUCGAAAGCGUGGGGAGCAAACAGGAUUAGAUACCCGGGUAGUC